Long non-coding RNA from Zophobas morio, 527 nucleotides. RefSeq lists it as uncharacterized. Lineage: Eukaryota; Metazoa; Arthropoda; Insecta; Coleoptera; Tenebrionidae. The transcript has 5 exons. The record is from RefSeq and is a predicted model, not a curated record.
UUGCUACUUUUGCGAAUGUUUUUAUUUUGUUUGAGAGAUAAAAUUACUGCGUCUGAUUUGCCCAUCGCGACUUCCAUUCUUUACCCAAACGUUGUGCUUCCCGUUAUUAGAAUUUUUCGUGUUGAAAUUGAUAUAAAACAAACCACUUAUAAAAAGUUCAGUAUUUUUUUGGAAUAUUGCGCCUCUUUGGGCCUUAUUGAACUCAAUAAUCAGAAGGGACAAGUUGGAGUUCAAUAUUUAAUGAAAGUUAACACGAACCACAAUUUAUUUUCAAUUAUUGCUGAUGAAGUUUUUCCUUCUGAAAAACACGAAUGUUUACCUCAAAUAAACUUUGUGGUACCGAAAAAAGGUCCUCGCGUUAUAUCCAUCCGUUUGGCCAAAAUUCGCGGGAAUAAAAACGUGACGCUCGUCUCAAAUUUGGAAAAUUUUGGAGUUGUUUUUACUUCCGAAUUUAAAAAAGAACUUUCCCGAACUUUUUCUGUUUCUGUUUGUUUUUAUUCAAACAAACAACAACCGGAAGGCCAAAU